RNAcentral lists this long non-coding RNA (1001 nucleotides) under Anser cygnoides (Swan goose). Its description in RNAcentral is "lncRNA (ENSACDG00005012213.1)". Lineage: Eukaryota; Metazoa; Chordata; Aves; Anseriformes; Anatidae. The record is from RNAcentral.
CCAAGUAGAAAUCUGGAGCCCUGAAUACUCCGCGUUCUGAAAAAGGACAUCUGUGAUAAGAUGGAACUUGGCACCAGUAACUCAUGUACUAUGGGUGAAGCAUGCUCAGAAGAGGCAGACCCAGAGGCAAUCAAAACUCUUCUGAGAAAUCCUUCGCAUUCAAGAAUUCAGGCCAGAACUGCAAGUUGAUUCAAGCUCCCUAUAGGUAAGAGGGAUUUCUCUGCUGAUGACACCUCAACACAUAAUAUUUCUGGAUCUCUUUUCUGGCCAGAAGUAACACCAGACUGAGACAGCAGCUGAGAAAAAAAGCUCUGAGGUUUGGCUCAUAGGAACAUAUGGGGGCUGUUAACUUUUAGCAAAGGCUUCUUUGGAUUUACCACAAGUAGGGUUAGUCCUGAGCUUUGUGGCUCUACAGUACAGAUCUACAGCUCCCAGGUUGUUUUAUAACCUGGGGUUUCCAUUCCGGUCUAUGUCUAUAUAUGAUAAGGAGUUGAAAACCUGAAGACAGAGAUCUGAAAGACCUCUAGGUCAUUCUUUCGAAUAAUUUGUGCUGCAAAUAUAUUGAAAUUAAUUGUAUUUUCUUCCCCUGCCUGUGUGGAAUUUCCCCUUACUGUCACUGGCCAUUAUUAGGAAGUGCACAUUCAAGCAAUAAUUUAUAACCAACAGCUAAACAAAAAUAGGCUUAGGAAAAAAGAAAACAACACUUUUUCUUGUUCUUUUUCUUCUCCUUCUUCUCCUUCUUCUCCUUCUUCUUCUUCUUCUUCUUCUUUUUCUUUUUCUUUUUCUUUAAAAUUUUUCCUAGAGAUUUGGUCUUUCCCUCUAACCCAUCCACUGUGCUUAAUUUAGAACAGUUUUCAACAUAGGGUAAGUCCUAAGUUUAGGGCUAACUAUUUACUACUAUUUACUUACUUUUCCUUACUCUCCCCAUCAUUAAAAAAACAGUGAUAGAUGCUGAUGGACGAGGUGCAGUGAUAUACCAAAUAAAGAUCUAGUGCUGCACA